Molecule: ribosomal RNA, 341 nt
Filed under: uncultured Chloroflexota bacterium
Lineage: Bacteria; Bacillati; Chloroflexota
Description: bacterial SSU rRNA
Rfam family: Bacterial small subunit ribosomal RNA
Source: RNAcentral
AACGAACGCUAGCGGCGUGCUUAACACAUGCAAGUCGCACGAGAAAUCCUGGGCAACUGGGAGAGUAAAGUGGCGCACGGGUGAGUAACGCGUGGGUAAUCUACCCUUAAGUUGGGAAUAACACCUCGAAAGGGGUGCUAAUUCCGAAUAAUGUCCUUGGGGCUUCGGUCUCGAGGAUCAAAGAUGGCUGAGGCUUGCAAGCUAUCGCUUAAGGAUGAGCCCGCGUACCAUUAGCUAGUUGGUGGGGUAAUGGCCCACCAAGGCUAUGAUGGUUAGCUGGUCUGAGAGGAUGGCCAGCCACACUGGAACUGAGAUACGGUCCAGACUCCUACGGGAGGCUG